AACAAAGGUUUGUCUUUAUAUUGAAUAGAGAGCUUAGCUGAUGAUAAUCGUAUAGCCUUUUGGUUGGUGCAAAGUAUAAUGGAAUUGCAAAAACUUUUGAGUGUUGUUGUUACGACUUUUCUUUUCAAUGAUUGUUGCUGACAUCAAUAGCAUUACUAUGUUCCAAUGUUCAGUUCUUUUAGGAUCAGAUGGGUGGCUAGCUCCUUAAGAGAGAAAGAAGAGAUCAAAAGGUUGAGGAAGAGUUUGACGUUUAAGGCUGGUCCCAUGCCCAGUUUCUACAAAAGAGCCACCACCUAAGGUUGAAUUGAAGAAGAUACCAACUACUCUUUCUAAAUCUCCAAAGCUAGCACGCAGAAAGAGUAGUGGUGAUGCAACAGGAGGUGAGACGGGUCCUCCUGUGACAAAACGAAAAAAGAGGAGAGGCUGAAGAACGAAGAAGCAGAGAAAAGAAGAGAGGAAGAGAUGUCUUCUUCCGUGCCUGCUAAACCUGAAGAGAAGAAAUUAGAAACCAACAACAUCCAAGUGAAGGCUGAGAUCAUGACAAGUGAAGUUGCAGGGGGAGGCUGAUCAAAGCAAAGAGAGCGUUUGUGCAUUUGGCAUCUCUGUUUGUUCUUCCUUUUGAAAAGCAUUAGUGUGAAUAGAGUUGUUGCAUUGUGGCUAUUUUAAGAGCUGCUUCACAUUUUUCAGUUUUUAAAAAAAUUUAAGCCUCAGAAUGUUUUUACUCUUACUAUUUGUUGAAUUAAAAAUGUAAAACAUAUAUUAAAUUAUAAGGAUAACAUAUGUGUAAAAUUUGGAGAGUAAAAUAGUGGCGAGUUGUGCAAAUGUUUAUAUAUCAAAGGAGACUGGUAGGGUCUUUAUUUACAGCUAAACAUGUUAGGGUCGGAUACAAAUAUUCUUGCGGGGUGCUUUGUAUUUGCAACAUGUUUGUGGUCGGAAACAAGAUUAUGGUUUAAAUCUGUUUGGGCUUUGGUUGAACGAUUCCUGUAAAUAUUGAUGGAUAGGCCUACUCACACUACUCACUCCUAAGAUUUUCAUUCGUUAACCAUACAAGAUAUUAUGUUUCAAAAUGUUAAGUGUCAUUCUUAGUAUUUAUGCCUCAUUCAUUGUU
Brassica rapa (field mustard) is the source of this 1108-nucleotide long non-coding RNA. RefSeq lists it as uncharacterized. The record is from RefSeq and is a predicted model, not a curated record. Lineage: Eukaryota; Viridiplantae; Streptophyta; Magnoliopsida; Brassicales; Brassicaceae.